Molecule: ribosomal RNA, 177 nt
Filed under: uncultured bacterium
Lineage: Bacteria
Description: partial 16S ribosomal RNA
Rfam family: Bacterial small subunit ribosomal RNA
Source: RNAcentral
GCUGGAAUUGCUAGUAAUGGCAGGUCAGCAUACUGCCGUGAAUACGUUCCCGGGCCCUUGUACACACCGCCCGUCACACCAUGAGAGUUGGAAAUACCCGAAGCCUGUGAGCUAACUGUAAAGAGGCAGCAGUCGAAGGUAGAGCCAAUGAUUGGGGUGAAGUCGUAACAAGGUAAC